UGCAAGGUGCCAAAAAUCUUCAUUUUACUGCCGGGGACAUCUAAUUUUCUUCCCUAUCUCAUAGAAGGAUGAACAGAACUACGUAUUCAUCCCAUAAAAACAAAAAUAAUUUUUGAUGCACCACUCGAACGAUGGCACAUUCCAAGGGCAAGAAGGAGCCUCAGUUUUUGUUGUUACAAAUACUGCGCAAACAAUACAUUUAUUCGAUAUAUAUUCGAAAAACCGCUUACGGCUGCUUUUUCACGCUGAUUGACGUUAGCGCAUCACGUUAAAGCCAAUCAGCGCAUUCCGUAUAUUUAUGAAAGUGCACUUUGAACAGCUAAUCAGGAAUGUGCAUUGAGUCGCCCUUUUGGCUUUUCCUUGGCUUUUCCCGCUUUUUUCAUCGAGUUUGAGUGCUGUUGGGGAAUGGGGCGAAUAAUCUCGGAGAUGAGUCAGUCUUACAUCUAAGGAGCAAAUAUGCCUUUUUGUUUUGUGCCUCAAUGCAGUCAUUCCAGCGCCAGGUCCCAGUCCAAGUGCUCCUUGUUCUUCCGAUUGCCCCGGGACGAGGGGGAGUUGAAGAAAUGGACUACACUGAUGAGGAGACAAGAUGCAAAGCCCAAUGAGCAUUCAAGAGUGUGCUCUUGUCAUUUUAGGAAUGGCAAGAAAGAAGCUGGUCCAACCCUAUUUGCUUGGAAUGACUUCAAGAGAAGCUUCAAGUGGCCACGGCUUGACCUUCGCGUCAUCACCCUGUAUUCACGACUGCGAACCUUCAUUCGACUGCGACAUGCGGCGGGACUCCGACGGAACGACCACAUUCAGAUGCUGGUGGCCCGUCAGGCUCAGAAGCCAUCUACAUCCUCGAAGCCUGUGGUGGCGACUAAGCGGCGCUUCUUGAAAGCUAAGCAGUUUGCACGCGGAGCGUCCCACCUGUGAGCGGCUUCAUUGCUGCUGACGUUUCCUGACGUUGGGCUGUGCGACGCUCUUACCGGUCGCUGUACCUGGCCGUACUGCAGCCCACCUGGGGCUGGCGGCCGCCCUGCCGUGACGGUCGCACGCCGUUGUACCUGGCCGUACUGCAGGGCUGGCGGCCACCCUGCCGUGACGGUCGCACGCCGCUGUACCUGGCCGUACUGCAGCCCACCCGGAGCUGGCGGCCGCCCUGCCGUGACGGUCGCACGCCGCUGUACCUGGCCGUACUGCAGGGCUGGCGGCCGCCCUGCCGUGACGGUCGCACGCCGCUGUACCUGGCCGUACUGCAGGGCUGGCGGCCACCCUGCCGUGACGGUCGCACGCCGCUGUACCUGGCCGUACUGCAGGGCUGGCGGCCGCCCUGCCGUGACGGUCGCACGCCGCUGCACCCGGCCGUACUGCAACCCACCCGGAGCUGGUGUCGCAGAUGCCAAGCUGCGAGAUGACGGGGGUUAUCGGCCGUCGUCCAAACGGUGCGCGCGGGCCCUCAUCUUGUCCGACGGCGCGCCCACUUCGCGACUGGCUCCGACCUCGCUUGGCGUUGGUACAAGAGCUGCCGGGAGUCGCCCUGCAUCCUCGGCGGGGAGCCGAGAUUCCGGGCGGGCCGACUCCAACGUUUCCACACGAUAUCGCUUUGAUAGCCAGGUUUCUUUCAAUGAUUAUUUCUGUAAUCGGUCACGAGGCGAAUCCUCGUUGAGCCUAAUUUGUUCUCCAGUCUGCUAAGUCUGGUUUGCUUUGUUGAUGACUUUGUGGUGUUAACGUGCCAAACCACAUGCUGUACUAUUAAAGGGUGUCAAAACGAGUUAUGCUUAACAGCUAUAUAAACUACGCCUGGAGUUUGCUCUGAUAUGAAUUGCGUUUUAUCAUUAUGACCUAACCAAAUAACUUGAGUGAGGUAGUUGGAAAGUACUUAGCAUAAUACGUGGCCGCUGGCUUCGUUCCCCAAGCGCGACGGCUCGCCGUUUUCAACGUUCGUCUGCGCACUGUACAUCUGCAGCCCAGUAAUCAAUAAAUGGCACAGGUACUC
RNAcentral lists this long non-coding RNA (1975 nucleotides) under Amphibalanus amphitrite. Its description in RNAcentral is "uncharacterized LOC122393792". Lineage: Eukaryota; Metazoa; Arthropoda; Thecostraca; Balanomorpha; Balanidae. The record is from RNAcentral.